UUUUUUUUUUGUGUGUGAGAGCCAGGUAGGGCUAUUCUUCUUCGUGUCGGAGGAUCUUGGAAGUGAGACUGUCAGCACUUUAUCAUGAUCUAUUCACCGAUCUAUUCAGCCACCACUACAGGACAGGACGUUCCGCUUCCCCUUUUUCUUCAUGUGAAAUAUCCUAGCACUUUAUCAUGACCUAUUCAUCCACUUGCGCUACUACACGACAGGACGUUCCCCUUCCCCUUCUUUUUUGAAAAGCUUACGACGACGUUCCAUUUCGAAAAGUGCUGCAGAUGGGAACAUCGUUUUCAGCAGUGGAUAAGGUAGCAAGCAGCUUGGGGUCUUGGCUGCACUUUUCGAAAUGGAACUAGACAAAUAUAGAAAACGUUACUUGUGGAAAGGCUCCGAUCUCAAUACUAAAAGCAACCUCCAAAGGCAGUCUGGCCCAUCGUCUGUAUCCCUAAAAAAGAAGGUCUUGAGGUGCUGAAUCUCACAACCCACAAUGAUGCACUACUUAUGAAGUUUCUCCACAAGUUUUACUCAAAGUCAGAUAUUUCUUGAGUUCACCUUGUCUGGGAUAAUUAUUAUUCCAAUAGACAAUUACCUGGACAGAAAAAAAGAAGAUCCUUCUAGUGAAGGGAUAUAGUAAAGUUGAUCGACAAUUACAAAGGAAUGGCUACAGUCUCAUUAGGAAAUGGAUCAACUGUUCUAUUCUGGCAUGAUCUAUGAUACGGUCAAGUCCCCUCAUAGCAAUAUCCUGAACUCUUCUCUUUUGCCAAAAACCCCCUGGUGACCUUCAGAGAUGCAAUGGCAGAGAAUGAGUUUCUCACAGAAUUUCCACCUACCACUAUCCAUCCAAGCCUUUCAACAGUUUUCCGACGUUCAAGCUUUGAUUGAAAACGGACAAUAUCAUGGUGAUGUUGAUGUUUGGUCUUAUAUGUGGGGCAGUCCAAACUUCUCAGCAGCUAAAGCCUACAAGUCCUUAAUUGGUACCAGGAAUGUCCAUCCCAUCUUCCAGUGGCUGUGAAAAUCCAAGUGUCAAAUGAAGCACAAAAUUUCUUCUGGCUGGUUCUCAAGGAUCGGGUAAAUAGAAGGGAUCUCCUACUUCGGAAAGGCAUGACCCUAAAAUUCUACACUUGUGACUAUGUAUUCUUCAGAGGAUAGAAACGGUUGCUCACCUCUUCCUACGGUGCAAUUUCGCAAGGACUUGUUGGGCAUCAAUUGGGAUCACGGUGAUAACUACAAGGCCAAUCUUGCAUAUCCUCAAGAGAAUUAAACGGCAACUGAAUGUACCUUUUGCCAUGGAAAUAAUUAUCCUAAUAACUUGGUGCAUCUAGACAAUAAGGAAUGACUGGAUCUUUAAUGAUAUCAAUCCUAUGAUAGAGGAUUGCAGAAACAAGUUCAGAACUGAAUUCGCUCUUCUACUUCACAGAGCAAAGCAUAGUCUUUUGCCCCAAUGGAGAGCUGGCUUGAAGCCCUGUAAUUUUCCCUUUUCGGUUCCUCUCUUAGUUGUUUUCUCUUUUGUUUGCCUGUUUAUUUAUUUGUAACGCACUUUUAUUCCCUAUUUUAUCUAUAUAAUCACUACACUAGGGGCUUGCCCCUCCUGUUUUCUUCAAAAAAAGGUAGCAAGCAGCUCACGAAUGGACUAGAUCAAGGGGUCAGCACACAAACAAACUGCAAAACCUCAGUUCUCUUCCUACCACAAAUUAAAUACACCUGGGUGCGCAUACUUAAGCAACAUGAACGAUCAAGUCUAGCAAGUGCCGUUUCGCGGAGUAGAUCGCUUGCACGCAGAGGGCUUGGGAUGAAAAUUGGUUGGAAGGCAUCAAGGCAGCAGAGGCAGGUGCAGGCUCAACAGGAAACUCGGAUAAAGAAAGAUAUUUUGCGCGAUCUUUCAGCUUCAGCGCCCCCACAGACAAGUUGGUGGAGGAGGCAUCAACCACGACAAGAUAGCAUGUCGAUCGUUCUCGCUAUUCCUCGAGCAAUCAUACGGCACGCAUGGUCGUGUCCCUGCGUAUUCUGCCCCCUGUCGAGGUGGCCUUUCUCGGCCCGAGGAGCCGCCGCUCUCUCACUUUUCGUUGCCCUUUCCGGAGAUCUUUGGUUCAUUCUGAUUCAAUAUGAUCCGUUGAGUGUGUGUAUGUACGAUGGUCCAAAUGCACCGAGUUGAAGAAGCGUGAGAGUGCUGCCGGGGUGAGGCUGGAUCCUGCAUUGCUCGUUCCACUACGCUGCACACGAGUCUGUACGAUAUGUUCAGCGUUAGAAAAAAAUGACGGAUUUGAUUGUAGCGUGCAAGUAUUUUAUGACGACUCUGGAGUCGUGCACAAGAUAUGAAAUAUAAUUUAUAAACAGGCGAAUCGUACUUUUAUCUUUGGAUACAAGCAAAAAACAAAUUGUUCUGCGUACUAGCAUAUACGUAGGGGUCACUGGUCAGUUGUCAAGUGAAGAGCGCGGCGAAGAAUAAUAACGAGAGGCAGAACGAACCCUGACUUUUCUUUGUUGCCGGCAGUACGGCGAAUGACGAUGAUUCCUAAAAUUAAAGGUUGAAUCCUGACAGCAUAAAGCAUUCAUGCGGGCCUCCAGGCUCUAAUGUCCAAACGGGCGGUCCAAUCCCAGCUAGGCCCGCCCAACUUCAUCCCGGACCAGGCCCGACCGGCCUGAACCUUUGGGUAGGCUCCGCAGGGUGAUCGUGGGCAAAGGGAGCCACAGACUGGGAGGCGCUUUCCGGAGGUGGAAGAUUUACGUUCUUCCUAUUUGACCCGAAACCGAUCGAUCUGAUCAUGAGCCUUUAAUUUUGUUUAAGGGCUACUCGUCUUACUAAAGUACUAAAGGCUUUCACGGCUGACUCCUGCUCUCGAGAAAAGGGAAUUGAGGCUUGCGCGUGUACGGAAACGCAACGGCUUUCCCGCUCGUCCCUUGCUUCAAAACUAAAGAUUUUUUUUCCGAUCAUUCGGAAAGGUAAUUGGAGCUUCGCUCACGGGCUGCACCAACGGCCCAGGCCCGGACCCACGGGCCCAUUUCGUGCCGGACCGGGCCGGUUGGCACGGACAGCCCGGCGAGCCCAGUGCCAGCCCAGGCACGGUGGAGCAGUCGCCGGUUCGCCGCCGCCGGGAUUUGUGGAGCCGCCGGCGUCUGCUGGAGGUUGGAGCCGGGAGAGGGAAGGGCCGACGGAGGGUGCUCUUUCUCUUCCUGCGCGCCGCCGCCUCCAGCUCGACAAGCCGCCGGCCGCUGCCCCUGUGCGACCCCCGGAUUCAUCUGCAUGCUCGCCAUCGCAUUGGGGAGGUGGCGCCGGCCGCCGGAGGGAGAGGGACGGAGGGAGGUGGAGCUUGGAGAGGAGGACGGUGGGGAGCAGGCGAGCGGCUGGAGCAGGGGGGGUGGAUGGGAGGAGAGGCGAAGCUCGGAGAGAGGCACAGUGGAGCAGUCGCCGCCGCCGUGGAGGAGAGCAGUGGAGCCGGCGACGGUGGAUCCUGGAGAGGAGGGGCUCCGAGCCUCCACGCGUAGCAAGAGGGAGAGAGAAUCGUGGAGGAGGAGGCUGGCGGCGGGGAGGCGGGCAGGCCUUCAUACCGUGCCGGGCUCGUGUCGUCCGACGUGCUGGGGUGGCGGCCCACGUCCGGCACGAGCUAGCGGGCUUGGCCAGCACAGGCAUGGAAGCCACCGUGCCGAGCCGUGCUCUUGCGGGCCUAAAAACGUGCUUCAUGUUGGGCUGUCGGGCACAGGUCUUCUGGACAUCUAUAGCUCUAGUGCUAAAGAGAGGGAGGCUGCAUUGUCGUGCUGUUAUUCGUGGUGCCGUCGCCUUCGGUUCUUCAGCCACAGCCCACACAGAUCAUGAUCAGAUAUUCAGAUCCCAGCGCUAUCAAUGUUGGCUCGAGAGGACGGUAACGUACUACUCGUAGCAAGCAAUGGCCGUAGAGUGUUGCGGUCCCCCACCGUCCGAAGGCCGAAGAGUUACCACCACCGAGUCUGCCCUGCCUACGACGAAUCGAUGAUGUUUCGUUCCGCGAUGAUCUGGAAGAAGAACCUUCCAGGCCUACUCAUCGCACCCUUCUUUGUUGAUGAAUAAUGAGUGAUCGGCACGUAAUUAUUACCCAACCGUGGACAUGGACACCAAAUUAUCGGAUGGGCCAAGUGGGGCCCGCUGUGCCAAUUUGUCGGGUUCGCAUCGAACGAAUCAAGGCGCCCGGCCGACUAGGAAAUAGGAAAUCCAUCCAGCUGGCCGUUCAAAAAGAAAAUCCUGAGUCCGGGCCUCCAAAGGACACCAAAUUACCGUAUGGGCCCAGAAGGGCCCGCUGGGCCAAUCUGUCUGGCCUUAAAGACAGGGCGUGCCUGCGCCAUGCCAACCCACGAAUAGGUUUGGAUCGGAAUCUUUUUUUUAAAUGGCAAACCUUUUUUUAAAAAAAAACUAAGAAUCCAUCCAGCUGGUCGUUCAAAAAGAAAAUUAUGAGUCGGCCUAAAAAAAGGAUAAGAUCCCCCGGCGGCCAUCGUCAUUCAACGAAGAUCUAUCGUACACGAAAAUACACUUAAUUAAUCGAGCGGGUACGGCAUUCGUGCUGUCUCAUAGUAGUAGUACUAGCAUAUACUAUAUACAUGUAAACCUGCUGGAAGCUCGAUGCCGAUUAAAAUGGCGUUUGUAUUUACAAAUCGUGAUGUUUUCUUCACAACACAGAGCAUCUCCCACUGCCUACAAUGGAGUAAGCAGUGAAGCACCCAAAGCACGGCAAGGAAGAACAGCGAGAAGAAAAAACGAAGGGAAAUAGCAAAUCCAAGCUACCUGCUCGGCUACUCACGGAUCGGGAGGAGCGCCACCCCUGUUGUCCGGCCGCUCGGCUCGGAUCAGUCCGAGGGCGUCGUCAGGAGCGCGUUGCGUAAGUACUCGUCGAGCAGGCUCUCGCCCCCGCGGCGGCGGCGGCGGACGGUGGCGCGCAGGCGGGCGGCGUGCGAGAAGAGCGCGCCGUAGAAGGCGGCGCAGGCCUCGGACAGGUGGCGCGCCAGCGGCAUCCACAGGUUGAGCGGCCACAGCAGCGGCGCCGACACCUGGAACACCUGCAGGAAGCCCCUCGCCGCCACGACCCCCAGCAGGUGGAUCCCCAUCGCACACGCCGCCACGCGGAAGCUUCUGCCGCUGCCCUGUUCGUCGAUCUCAGCUAGGGGAUGAAAGGGAAGGAUGGCAACCUCGCUGUGCUCGGUGGUGUCAGUGUCACUUGCCGGGAGGGAUGGGAGGGGGAGGGGGAGGCGGGUGCGGCCUUCCCCAGUUGCGAGCGUGGACGGCCAGUUGUUGGGCUUGCCGGGCGAGAGGAGCAGACGGAGAGGGAUCGCCAAAGAUCCAGUCCAGAUAAAAAAGGGUGGCACGUUCUGGCACGCCGAGUCGCCGAUCCGACCUUGUGUGGGGUUGCCGGGUUGGACACUGGAGUAAACUGAUUACCGAUGCUUGCGGACACGGCCACACGGGCUUCCGUCGUGACCGACUGACUGACCGUGCUAUUUCUGCCGGUGGGUCCGUGAUGUUACGUUCUCUUUUCUCUUUUUUUUCCUAUUUUUUUAAAAAAAUUUGCCGGCCUUUUGAAAUUCGUAUGCCCGGGCCAGUUGUGCCGGCGCCCUGUGCCCUGCGGUACGGGCAACCUGUUCCUGAUUGAAAGCGAAGUUAUAGGAGUUCUAUUUAAGACUGGAUUUUGGUGUUGUUUAGUUGCCAAAAUUUGGAGUGUCAAAAUUAUUGUACCAGCACUGUAGCACACUGUAGCGUUUCGUUUGUAUUUGUGAAUUAUUGUCCAAACAUUGACUAAUUAGGCUCAAAAGAUUCGUCUCGCAAAGUACAACAAAACUGUGCAAUUAGUUUUUAAUUUCGUCUACAUUUAGUACUCCAUGCAUGUACUGCAAGUUUGAUGUGAUGGGAAAUCUUCUUUUUGCAUAGUGCCAAAGUUGGGAGUUGGGGGUGAACUAAACAAGGGCUUUAUAUUGGAGGCAAUCUAAAAAUACUCCAUCAAAUUCUAGGACAGUCUUUUAAAAAAAACUAAUUCUAGGACAGUCUCUCCAUCCGAUAGCUUGCAUACUUCCUCCACCUCAAAAAAAUAUGUCCUUCUGCGAUUCAAAUUUAUCUAAAAAUAAGUUGUUAUAUUUAAUUUGGUAUGUGUGCAUGUGUACGUGGACAUGCAACAGUCAAUUAGCAUAAAAUAUAGCUAAUAAAUAGGGGCAAUUGAGGUUAUUUUACCUCUUUGUUAAUUUGUCUAAUUGAGGUUAUUUUACCUCUUUGUUAAUUUGUCUAAAAUUCCUAAGAUGACGUAUUUUUUGGGAUGGAAGGGGUACAAAGUUUGAGUUGACAAUCCUCGCUCCAAAGUACUCCUACUGCCCUACUCUGGUGCACAAACUGUUCCCGAAAGCCGUUAACCUACCUGGCGAAGAACUGAAGACGUGAAGUCCGCAACUCUCAAGAACUCCUUGAUUUAUGGGCCCCUAUCUACAUGGGCUCACUGACACUAGGCUUAACAAACGCCGCAUUAUGGGCCUCAGAUUGCCUAACUGCCAUCUCUCGGAUGGACAAGUACAGCCCAACCAACAGUCCAAGGUAUUUGCGGGAAUCCUAUCCAUCUUCCGGACGGAAGAGAUAGUUGUUUAUUUAUCUUCCGCUUUAAGAUGCGCACGCAAUAUUAUAAUUAACGGGAGUAGAUGAGAGGCAUGUGCGCUUGCUGCGGGCUGCUGCUAGGAGCCUAGGAGGUGGUCUGACAUUGAUGGGACAUGCGACAGGUUGUUGCUAGUGGUCGGAGGUUUGGUUUUCAAAUUUAAAACUCACUUCUCUCUCAAACGGUGCAUUCAAUUUCAAUUCCGUUUGAAUUAUGAUGUUCCCUAUAUUUUUCUUUACAAAACGAGAUCCAACAUGACUAUUUUAAUUUGUUAUUUGAAUGUAAACAUUUUAAGUGAGCUACUUCAACAUUUACAUACCUAACUCAAUAUUUCAAAGGUACUAUUUCAAUAUGAUCAUAUAAAAUGGUGAACUAAUUCAUUCAAAAUGUUGAAUUGGAUUUUAAAAAAUGACCAUAUAAAAUGGUGAACUAAUUCAUUCAAAAUAUUGAAUUGGAUUUUAAAAAAUGUUGAGUCUAGUGUUUAAAAUGCUAAACAUUCUAUUUCAACAAUAUCAUAUAAAAUGUUGAACUAGAUGUAAAAUGUUGAAUCUAGUAUUUAAAAUGUUGAACACACUAUUUCAACAUUACCGUAUAAAAUGGUGAACUAGUUUACUACAAAUUAUGAAUUAGAUCUAAAAAUAUUGAAUCUAGUAUUUAAAAUGUUGAACAUACUAUUUCAACAUUACCGUAUAAAAUGUUGAUAUGGUUCGUUUGAAAUGUUGAACUAGACUUUAAAAAUGUUGAAUCUAGUAUUUAAAAUGUUGAACAUACUAUUUCAACAUUACCUAAAAAAUUGUUGAACCAUUUCAUUUGAAAUUUUGGACUAGAUUUUAAAAUGUUGAAUCUAGUAUUUAAAAUGUUGAAUAAAUAACUUUGCAUUUUUUUCUCUGUUCUUUUUUUAAAAAUAAAAGUGAAUAUCAAUAGUUUCAAAAACAUAACGAGGUUGAGGAAUAAUACAACGAAAAAGUUGCUAACAUGACCCCAUCCUGCAUUCAUGCUCAUGCGUCGUGCAGUGCACGGGUUCCCCAAGUGGUCAAGCACUCUACCUUCCCGCACGCCUUUGUUUUUGAUCGAGCAGACGGACGGCGCGUGCAAAAACAAACAAACAAACAAACAAACGGCAGAUUAGCUUAUGGGCUACUUUGGACUGGUUACUGUGCUAUUAAUGGAUUAUAGAUAUAAGUGCUAACUAUCUACCAGAAGGUAGAUAGGAGCCCCCAGAUAUUUAUGUCCACGGCAUCAGCGGUCCAGAGAAUUGGACAGUAACAUAUCUGCGACGCCGACGCUGCAACUGAAAACCAGGGACCCUGGUGGCCAGAUCACACAGUUUCGCAAGUACUCCUAGCAAGUAGCAACUGGCAAAAAUAUCCCCAUGGCAAAUUUCAAAGCAAGGUUGUUAAUUAUAGAAGAUGAACAUUUACUUUUAUAUUUUUGGUGAAUUUCAGCUAUAAAAUGAAUGCAGCUUCUAGUAUAGGAGACCACCAAAAUUAGGUUCUUGAGCUGCAACCAGCAAAGUUACAGGUCUGGUGUAAGCAAUAACCUCUGCAAGACAACAUCUAUUCACUUCUUACCACUUGAGCAUGCUGCCUUUCAGCCACUUGACACGUUGGAGAGGCAGAUUAGUUUGAAAGCUAAAGAAAUGGUCCUUCACGAUUCAAUUCCUCAAACUAAACCAUACACAAAAACAUCACAAUACUUGGUAGUAAUAGAAUAUAGAAGCAGAUCUUAGCUCAACACACUGUUUUAGUAACUUUACUACUAUAAAGCCUGAUACAAUUUCACAUAACAGAGCGGAGCUAAAAUUUCUAGUGCUAGCAACAGACAAGAACAUGCUGCCACUACAGAAAUCCUAAAUAUGUUACAGCAUCCGUAGCUCAAAACGAUACCAACCAGAGAGAUCAUGAUUAUAUUGCCUUCUCCUACACUAGAGUUCACCUUCAUUUUGAAUAUCCGAUCUACAUCCAUCCAGCAAGAACCUGUAGACAAGCUCCUACACUAGCACUGAUACGGUUGCUUCGAAUUAUGACAUGGACCCUAAGAGGCAACUAGGAGUUGCUGGUAAGAUCACUGUCGUUGUCGUUGUCACCAGUUGUAUCUGCUUCCUUCACCUCCUGGAUCAUCUUAAGUACUUGCCAGGCGGCAGGCCGACUUUCUGGUGAUGACCGAACACAAGCAGCGGCUAUGUCGACGAUCAUUGAGAUACGGUCACUGUCCACUCCUUCAUCUUCUCUCGCUGACUGGACGAAGGUUUGAAGAUUACUUGCGACCAAGACUGAAUGCUGUAGUGGUGGCUUUCCACUAAGGAGCUCAAGGAGGAGUACACCAAAAGCGUAUAUGUCUGAUUUUGGAGUUAGCAUUCUGUUGGACUUCAUGUUUUCUGGUGCUCUAUAAGCAGCAUCGUCUUUGACCUCUGAUGAUUCCAGGAGGAAUGACAAGCAAUUGUCUGUAAGGCAAGCCUCAAAGUCAGAACCAAGCAGAACGUUAGAAGAUUUGAUGUUUCCGUGGACAAGUCGAGAUGCUUGAUGAAUGUAAGCAAGGCCCUGUGCCACAUCUUCUGCUAUCUUCAGGCAUGAUGUCCAGUGAAGUGGUUUUGUUCGCGAUGACCUUGAACCUGCAGGUCACAAAAGUUAACUUAACUAUUAAGCACAACUGAUAAAACAUACGGUUAUACAAUUUAGCCUGCAUACAAAAAGCUUGACAUAUUGAGAUGUUUUAACUUGUGAAGACUUUUGUUUAGCUCAGCUAUAAAAAGUACUCCCUCCAUUCCAAAUUAUAAGUCAUUCCAAGAAUCUUGGAGAGUCAAAGCAUCUCAAAUUUGACCAAAAUUAUAGAGAAAAUUAUAAAGAUUUAUGACAUCAAAUAGGUAUACUAUGAAAAUAUAAUUGAUGAAGAAUCUAAUGAUACUUAGUUGACAUCAUAAAUGUUAUUAUAUUAUCAUAUAAAUUUGGUCAAACUUGAGAUACUUUGACUCUCCAACUCCAAAAUUCUUGGAAUGACUUAUAAUUUGGGAUGGAGGGAGUAUUUUGUUUAAUUAGCUGGAGCGUAAAUAGGACACUGCAUUACUAAUCAAUGAUCAUAAAGCAAAUCAACAUAAGACAUGAAUGAAGCCUUCUGUUACUCCAAUGUUCAUCUCAUCUGCAAAUUCCUAAGCACUGGCCAAUAUCAUGCCACAUCUCAACUAUUAUGAGCAUGCUACUGUUACAAAAGAUACUAAACCCAGACCUCACUACCAUAAAUACAGAUGAACUGUUAAGAGGAGCAAGUCGCUAAUUUUUUAUUCUUCAAAAAUAAAGAAAAAUACAAAGGAGAAGUCAUGAACCAUAAAUUCCACUAUGGAAGUUCAAUUGAUGUUUUUCAAGGACCACAAAAAUUUAUUAUACACCUGCCGUUUCCAAAUAGUGCUGCAUAUUUAUCAUUUCAACAUCGAGUGAAGAAGCAAUAUCAUCCAUUAUAUCUUUUGGUAAUGAAUACUAUUCACAAAAACAUUACCUGCAGGCUUCUCGUUUUUUCUAAACAAAUCAUUAGCCAGAUGACUGCUACAUGUGACCAGUAACCACUUAUGAGUUAUGAGUGCAUGUAUGCUUUGGUUACUGGGAUCACAAGGAAAAAGUCCAAGCAAUCAACCUAUCCAGCGCAUAUAUGGAUUCAAUAGGCGUCAACAUUCCGAGCCAGAUUUUCACGUGGCCAAGUCUUCUGAAUUUCAAUUAGCAUAAAGACAGUCUAGUUUGAAAAUAACCUAGACCAUGGACCAGGAUCAGGUACGCUCAUUACUGCUACGGCAACAGUAGCACCAACAUCUGCCAUCCAUGCAUCAACCAACGGAACUAUUUCCUUUAUCUAAAAAUGCAUCAACCAAUGCUCAGGAUUGUUCGCUGGCCCCACUUUACUUAUAUCCCCUCCCCAAGACCCAUCUUCUUCCUUCAUCCACUGUUUCUGCCCAUCCAUGGAGAGCGCUGCAGGUGUUUGGAUCAACAAAACCUCACGCAUGGCUGCAUGGCGCUGCAACUUGCUUGUAGCCAAUAGGUGAGGUUGUGACUCCCAUCAGGUCCGUGACUCCGUGAGACUGAAACGACGUGACAAAGUCAGCGCCUUGCUGUUUGUGGCGGUCAAGUGCAUGGCUGGAGGCACUGUGGAAAGGAGACUGCAAGGAAGGAGCGGAAGAAAGAAGAUAAUAGGAGCUGCCAUGGGGAGAAGAUCCUGCACUUGUGCGCAAACCAAAGGUGCUAACCUAGAAGGUGGAACCGUGGAACAAUAGAGUUUUAUUCAGAACUAUUAAGAGCAACUGAUAAAAUAUCUACACAUACAAUUUAUGAACUAAGUAUCCUUUGAAUGUAUAAAAAAUGUAUUGUUAUUUUAACAUGUUCUAUAACCUGUGAAGAGUUUCGUUUACCUUUGCCAAAAACAUGUAUGUUUCCAAAGCCUCACCAAUAUCAUUACAAAUUUCAAAUUAUGUUAGCAUAUUUAGCAUAUCACUGUGAGGGAAAAAAAUCUACAACAACAACAACAUAGCCUUUCAAUCCCAAGCAAGUUGGGGUAGGCUAGAGUUGAAACUCAACAAGAGCCACAAAUCAGGGUUCGGGCACAUGAAUAGCUGUUUUCCAAGCACUCCUAUCGAGGGCUAAAUCUUUGGGUAUAUUUCAUCCCUUCAAAUCUCCUUUUAUUGCCUCUUCCCAUAUCAAUUUUAGUCUUCCUCUGCCUCUCUUCACAUUACUGUCACGCCUUAGGGUUCCACUGCGCACCACUGCCUCCGGAGGUCUUCGUUUGACAUGUCCAAACCAUCUCAACCUGUGUUGGAUAAGCUUUUUCUUCGAUUGGUGCUACCCUAACCUAUCACGUAUAUCCUCAUUCCAGACUCAAUCCCUUCUCGUAUGACCACAAAUCCAACGCAACAUACACGUUUUCGCAACACUUAUCUGCUGGACAUGUCUUCUUUUUGUAGGCCAACAUUCUGCACCAUACAACAUUGCAGGUUUAAUCGCCGUCCUAUAAAACUUGCCUUUUAGCUUCAUGGUACCCUCUUGUCAUAUAAAAUUCCUGAUACUUGGCGCCACUUCAUCCACCCCACUUUGAUUCUAUGACUAACAUCCUCAUCAAUAUCCCCAUCUCAUUGUAGCAUUGAUCCCAAAUAUCGAAAUGUAUCCUUCCUGGGCACUACUUGGCUUUCCAAACUAACAUCUCCCUCCUCAUGUGUAGUAGUGCCAAAGUCACAUCUCAUAUAUUCAGUUUUAGGAGGUGUUUGGAUCUAUGGACUAAUUUUUAGUUCGGGUCACAUCGGAUGUUUGGAUACCAAUUAGGAGGACUAAACAUGAACUAAUUAUAAAACUAAUUGCAUAAACGUGGGCUAAUUCGCGAGAUGAAUCUAUUAAGCCUAAUUAAUCCAUAAUUAGCACAUGAAACUGUAGCAUCACAUGGGCUAAUCAUGGACUAAUUAGGCUUCAUAGAUUCGUCUCGCGAAUUAGCCCUCAUUUAUGCAAUUAGUUUUAUCAUAGACUAUAUUUAAUACUCCUAAUUAGUGUGCAAACAUCCGAUGUGACAGGGACUAAAGUUUAGUCCGAGGUAUCCAAACACCCGCUUAGUUCUGCUCAGUCUAAAACGUUUUGACUCUAGGGUCUCCCGCCACAACUCCAGUUUCCUAUUUACUCCUGCUCAACUUUCAUCAACUAGCACUACAUACGCGAAGAGCAUACACCAAGGGAUAUCCCCUUGAAUGUCCCUUGUUACCUCAUCCAUCACCAAGGCAAAUAGAUAAGGGCUCAAAGCAGACCCCUGAUGCAAUUCUAUUCCAAUUAGAAAGUCAUCUGUGUCGCCAUCACUUGUUCGGACUCUAGUUACAACAUUGUUGUACAUGUCCUUAAUAAGUCCAACGUACUUCGUUGGGACUUUAUGUUUGUCCAAAGCUCACCACAUAACAUUCCUUGGUACUUUAUCAUACGCCUUCUCCAAGUCAAUGAAAACAAUGUGUAGGUCCUUCUUCUUCUCCCUAUACCGCUCUAUAACUUGUCUUACUAAGAAAAUAGUUUCCAUGUUUGACCUUCCAGGCAUGAAACCAAAUUGGUUCAUAGAGACCCGUGUUAUCCUUCUCAAACGAUGCUCGAUAACUCUCUCUCAUAGCUUCAUAGUAUGGCUCAUCAACUUAAUUCCUCGGUAAUUAGUACAACUUUGAAUAUCUCCCUCAUUCUUGUAUAUUGGUACCAGUAUACUUCUCCACUCUUCCGGCAUCUUGUUCGACCGAAAAAUAUGGUUGAACAACUUGGUUAGCCAUACUAUGGCUAUAUCCUGGCUAUAUCCCCGAGGCAUCUCCACACCUUAAUUGGGAUACCAUCCGGACCCAUCGCCUUACCACUUUUCAUCCUUUUCAAUGCCUCUCUGAUCUCGGAUUCUUGUAUCUUCUGCACAAAGUGCGUGUUGGUGUCAUCAAAAGAGUCCUCCAACUGCAAGGUUGUGUUCUCAUUCUCACCAUUGAACAAUUUGUCACAAUACUCUUGCCAAUCUUAGGUUUCAUCUCCAUUAGAAUGGCUAGGUUUAACAUAGGCGGGAAAAAAACUACAAGGCCGCUAAUUGUAGAUGCAAUAUAAGCAGAGCUAGUCCCCCAAAUAUCUGGUUCAUAAAAAGAAAACGUGGAAGUCCUGAAGUAUGCACUUCCCAAAAGCAAGUCUAGUGUAGAGGUUGAACUGGCAUUUUUCACUGCCCACUAAAUCCAUCAUACCUUGCUGGACUACUUCCCAAUAGUCUUGCAUAAUCAAAAUAAUGUGUUUAAGCAAUAUCAUACCAUUGGCAGUGAUUACUAGUCAGCAAAACAUUAUAUGCAAUGCAAGUAUGCAACCAUGCUCCUUGUUUUUCUUCCAUGAAGCUAAAAAGGUGACCAGCGGCCACUUAUGAGUGCCUGUAUGCUUUGUUUAAUGGGUUCUCAGAGAAGAGAGCCCACUGGUGGCGUCCACAUUCUGCUGCCAUGUUUUCACGUGGCCAAGUCCGCUGAAUUUCAAUUCGUGGCCAUGGGAUGAAGAAUGUCUACUUUGAAAAGGUAAAGCUAGCCUAGGUCACUAAUAAUCUACUGUAGUAGUACUAGAUGUAAAGGUGAACACUAGAAUUGUUCCAAGCACCAAUCAGUUUAGUCUGUCCAACACACCUAACAGCUGAUUAGAUACUCUAUUAACAAGUUCCAGCAUUCAGAUCCUAAGAGAAGAGCACGGAACGUACCAUGGAUGAGAGAGUAGAGGCUGCCAUUAGGUUGGUAGUCGUACACGAGCAGCCGCUCCUCCUUAGCCUGGAAGAAUGCCCGGAGCGGCACAAGGUUCGGAUGCCGCAACCGGCCAACUGCAUCCAUGUUCUGCUCGAACGCCUCUGCUUCCAGCGCAGCCGGGCCAAUCUUGGCCGCGUCCAGCCUCUUCACAAUCACGACAAGCCGGCCGUCGAGCACCGCCUUGUACGUCGUCCCGACGCUCCCGCGGCCGAGCACCUCUGCCGAAGCGCGCAUCAGCUGUUCGAGGCUGUAGCUCGCCGCCUCGCCAGCGCAGAAUGUUAGGCAACCGCUCCGCUCCAGCCUCCGCGCCUUCUCCUCCGGCACCAUAAUCGCCGCUGUCUCCUCAUCAGGAACGCACUCCACGUAUCCCAUGUCAGCAUUGUCCCUGCUCACCUCCGAGGCGGGCGCGCUCUUCUUGGGGUUGGGGCUUGCGUACGUUGCGGAGCUCGGGCGCCUCCUCCCGUUGCUCCUCUUCAUCGCAAUCAUGGCGCAAAGGAGAAGCGCGGCCAGGACCGUGCCCACGGCAACUGCGACAGCCAACGUGGUCCUCCUCCUCACUUUCUUCGCGUGCGGCGCGGACGAAUCCGGCAUGCUCAAGCUCUCCCGCUGCGGGCCACUGUCGCUCGCGGCAGCGCUCUGAACAGGGGGAGCGGCGGUGCCGUUGUUGCCGCCUCCGUGGAAGAAGAGGAGGUGCGAGCCGCGGCACUCGCGGCGGACCACCUCGCCGCAGAGCUCGGGGUUGCCCGCGAACGCGGCGGCGCCCACCUGCGUCAAGACGGGCGUGACCGGCACCGGCCCCGAGAAGUUGUUGUAGGAGACGUUGAGCACCUUGAGCGAGGACUGGUUCCACGCCGGGAGGGAGCCGUUGAAGUGGUUGGCGUCGAGGCGGAGGAAGGUGAGGUGCGGGAACGCGGCCUCAAUGCCGGGCGGGAGCUCGCCGGAGAGCCUGUUCCCGGAGAGGUCGAUGGAGCGGAGCCGCCGAAGAGUCGCGAGCGAGGCCGGGAACGGGCCCGAGAAGCGGUUCCCCGCGAGGUAGAGCGCCUUGAGGUUGGCGAGCGGGGAGAGGUCGGGGACAGGGCCGUGGAGCGCGUUGGACUUGAGGCUGAGCACGCGGAGCUCCGCGAGGCCCGAGAGCGUGUCCGGCGGGAACGUCCCGUUGAGCCCCACGGACUCGAGGACGAGGCGGAUGAUCUGGCCGGACGCGGUGCAGGUGAUCCCGGGGCGGGAGCACGGGGAUGCCGCCGGGGGCACGCGAAGGUGGGAGGACGGGUCGGCCUUGGCGAGGAAGGCGGCGAGGAGCGCGGCCGGGUCCGGCGGGCUCGACGCCAGCGCCGCGGAGGGGGCCACUGCUCGGACCGGGGACGGCCGCGUCGGCUGCGAGUGCGACGCGGCGCCGGGUGCCGGCGGCUUCGAGGCCGGCGCCGUGGGCGGGGCCGCCGCGGCUUGUACCGGGGACGGAAGCGUCGGCUGCGAGUGAGAUGCGGCGCCGCCGGGGGCCACCACCCCAGCCGCGGAUGCGGCGGUGGUGACGAGGAGCAGGAGGAGGAUGGUGAGCGGGAUGCGGGGGCGGUGGUGCGGCAUUGCGGCGCGGUGGGUGUGUACGGGGGGUUUUGGGGUUAGGGAGAGGUGGUGGAUUUCAGUGGAGCGGCGGCAUGUAACUCGAGGGUGGUGGUGGUGGUGCGGUGGAGUGGGAGUGGCUGCCGUCUGCGGUCUGCCGAUGCCGAGGGGAGGACGAGGAGGAGAUGGGCUGGGCUCCGAGUCGGGACGGAGAGGGGUCAGAGGGUGGUCGCGGCGGCACGUGGGUGGUACGUGGAGUUUAGCGUUGCUUUUUUCCCCCGGUUAUUAUAGGCGUACGGGGAAACUCAUUAGCGGGGACAGGAAUGCAAGCACGCAGCUAGCAGUUUUAAACGCAGAUCACGGAGAGAGACACUAGUCGCACUGGCACUCGCACACGCUACAAGUACAAGCCUGCUACCACAAUUUGGAUGGCCAACGACUUUGAAAGCAAAAUGCAGAUCAAGCAAAGUGCACAACCACAACCACAAUGGACCGUCUCCUUGUUUCGUUCAGUGGCUACGAAGUGACAUACGUAUCUCUCUAUAUGUCUUUGAUUUUUUGCAAAUAAUUCGAACCAUUUUGUGCUCGUAUAGUCGUACGUAUGAAAACACGGAUGAAAGAUACGGAUUUGCACGGGGAAUGUUUGAAAAGGAGCCGUUGCACGGUAGAAGGACGCAUGGGAGCGAUGUACCUACCUCUUUUUUAAGACUGACCGUACGCCCAAAUGAAUGCAAAUUUUUACUGUGGCUGUCAGGCAGGGCCCCCGGGGUGCAGUAGCAACGGGGACGGUGGGCCCCAGCGAUAUUCAAUCAGGAUGCGGGCCCGCGUGACUGCUGCCGGUCGUGGUAAAUCAUCUGGAUGCUUUUGUCGGCAGACGGGAAAUGUUUCCCUUCCGACUCCUCCGGGUCCGAGCUGGCGUGGUAAAAUGAGUCGUCGUCGCCGGAGGCCGGAGGAGGCUGGCCUCUGGCUGGGCUGCACGUUCUCCCCUAAGGCCCAAAAAUGGCGCAACGAGAAGAGGUUCAUCCCGCAGGCCCGAUCCACAGCAUUUUGUACCACUGCCAUUGUCACCUUUUUUUUUUCUUUGCGAAUGCACUGCCAUUGUCACUAGUCCAGUACCCCGUCGUUUCGUCCCCAAAGCUUUCCCUUCCGUCCUUGUGAACCCGGUGAAGCAAAUCAAAGCAAAUCGUACUACACUCCUAGGUAUAUCACGUACGAAGCUACUAUACGCCGGUGCACGUCCCUGCUCCCGGAGGUGGAGCCUGCAAAUUCAUGGCGCCCGUCUACCCCGAGCGUCCUGCAACAGGGACGAAUGGACGAUGACGGUGCGCGGCCGUGAACUCUGAACUGUAAAGGCAGGGAGGUAUCCAUGGAAAGAGGCGCGGCCUCACGUGCGCGGCCAGGAUUGCUCACGGUGGGCGCAGCUCCUCCGAGGACACAAAUUGUUCUGUCUGCUAUUCUUAUUUUUUUUUGAAAAGAAGUUCUGGCUGCCAUUCCACAUUUCUACCUGUGCCCAAGUGGUCAGUGACAUCAGUGUUGGUGCAGGAGUCAUGGAGCGAGCAGGGUUCCACAGAGUAGAACAGACUACAGAGUGAAAAUUUGGCCCCAUCUCGUCAGUCUUGGGCCCUACGUUUCUGUCGCGCUGUCUGAUGAUUCGAAAUUCUUUUUUUUAACUUAAUGAUUCGAAAUUCAAAAACCUUCGAUGUGCAUCAUAUCCUAUAUGCACAUUUCCCCGAAGAAACAGAACAGAAUCAUUCAGCAAAUUAAAAGGUCGUUCAAGACGGAAGCUAGACAGUGGGCACCGUACCAAAUGCUACCAAACUUCACAUGUCAAGGCCAUCAUCAUACUCCGGCGUCAAAGACUAGUUUUGUACUCUGACGCUGUGACAUCUCUGAAGAUUCAUGCUACGGUUGUUUUGGCGCCUUCGGACAUCACUGCCGCGGUUUUUGGCCUUGUUUAGUCGCCAAAGUUUGGAGGUGCCAAAUUACUGUUACAGCACUGUAGCACACUGUAGCGUUUCGUUUGUAUUUGUGAAUUAUUGUCCAAACAUUAACUAAUUAGGCUCAAAAGAUUCGUCUCGCAAAGUACAACAAAAUUGUGCAAUUAGUUUUUAAUUUUGUCUACAUUUAGUACUCCAUGCAUGUACCGCAAGUUUGAUGUGAUGAGGAAUCUUCUUUUUGCAUAGUACCAAAGUUGGGAGUUAGGGGUGAACUAAACAAGGACUUUCUCUCUGCCGAUGAAUGAUGCGCUUGGCGCCUUGUUUCGCGCUUGAUGAUGUCCAGGACAGAGCCGUUGAUGUUAUUCUGCCUCUUUGUUCUCGUAGUUUCAGCUCUCAAAUGGAGCUCCAUGCAUCUGACCACUGCUACUGCCACUGCUGUUGAUCGGUUCGUGUCAUCGGGCGAUUUGGUGCUGAUUUUCCCCCGGACAGUUCCAUUCCACGCAGAAACGACUAAACAUUCUCGGGUCAAAAAUUAAACCAGAGAGCAGCUGGAAAGAAAUGAAAGCGAUGAUCCAACCGAAAUUCAUGAUAACUCUCAUUCCCCCGCUUUCCCCGUCAUCAGUUGCUUAAUUGUGUGGCAAACAUGUGCUUCAACUCCUAGACCUGCUAGACCUCGUCGACCUUAGGCUUAGAGAAGUCCUCUCUAUUCUAAUGCAUGUGAUGGAACAGUGCUGCCUGAAUCCAGAUGUGAUUGAGCACCUGCUCUUGCUGCUUGUGCUUGACGGCAGAUGUGGCUUCCUGUUGGCUGCUGGUGUUGCGUGCAAAAGCAGAAGAAUUGCGUGCGCGUAAAAACCCGAGCUGAGCGGCCCAGUUAGUAAAGCAUACAGGAGGCCCCGAUAAGUGAAGGCAGGCAACUUCAGGGCUUAUUGGGCUUACGGACCCAACUUCAGGUGAACGCAGCCCGUCGUCGUCUUCGAGGAAACUGCUACUAACACAUGAUACAGUCAUACAUUCCUGUCCCCCCCCCCCCCCCCCCCCCCCCCCAAAAAAAAAAAAAACACGGUGCAUGAUUUUGAAACCAGCUCAAGAGCAAUUUCGAAUGAAUUCGAAUUCCAAAGGAAAUAUAGAGUUGUGGGAAGUGUUGGCAAAUUUACCUACAGGAUUUGAGGCAUAUUGCCGAAGCUAAAUGUUCGCUGUCACAACUCCUUAGCUAUAUGUACUAUAUGUUGUACACAUGUUCUGUAACCAAAAUCGUAACAUUUAUCGUUUCAAUUUUGUUAAUGAUAUUUCCAUGGCAGCUUUCGCCUAAAGCUAGUUAUGACAAAGUAAUGGAUCAGCCAAACAAGCCCGCGUAUGGCAAGUAUGAGAACGUCAUUAGCUAAGAUUAAGAAAUAUCUGGACAGUUGACACCUGACACCACUAGUCACUGGACCAGGCGCACCGCCUAUCGUCGCGGAGUCGGCAGUCCCCGUUGGGCCACAGGCUGACUUGCGUGUCGUGUCCAGUGUCGUCCCCCGUGCCAUACCACCGCCAUUCCAUACGUCUACACGCUAAGCUACAGGACCACUCACGAGGUCACGCAUCCAUACGAUGGCCAAGGAUGGUAAGUACCAAGUCGCAACCGCCAAAAGCCGAAGCCCUUCGAUUUUGAUCCCGUCCCGUCCGCACCAACAACGUGCCGCGGCCUGACGCGGCAGAUGAUUUUUGAGCCAACAAACCACGCUAGGACCCGGGCAAAACCAGCUAAUCAGCCACACUGACAGGAGGCUUCCUACCCCCCCUUAAUCCAGCUGACCAGCUACCCAGCUGGGACAGAGUCCCCGACGACUUUCCCCUCCCUUCUCCGGUUCUCCCUCCUCCCUGCUCGAUCGAUUCCUUCCUCGCCAGGUCCAAGCUCCAACCGCAUCUGUUCCCGCGGGAUCGAUUCGCCGUGAACUCGAGCACGCGAGCCGGGACACCGCCGGGAUGAAGUCUAUGGGCAGCCGCGACAAGCUCUCGGCGGUGUCCGCGGCGUCGGGCCACCGCCGCGCCCUCUUCGCCGUCUUCGCCUUCUGCUUCGCCUUCGCCACCUUCCUCACCUUCCUCUACACCACCUCCCACUUCACCUCCGCGGCCGCCUCCGCUUCCGCCGCCGCGGGGGGCAGCGACGCCAGCUUAGCACUAGCAGCAGGGUCCGGCUCCGGGUCCGACAACAAGCUGCCGCUCCCGGUGUUCGACGCCCUGGUCCACUACGCCUCCAUCUCCAACGCGACGCACCGCAUGCCCGACACGGACAUCCGCGCCAUCGCCGCGGUGGUCCGCGCGCGGGCGCCCUGCAACCUCCUGGUCUUCGGCCUGGGCGCCGAGUCCCCACUGUGGCUGGCGCUCAACCACGGCGGGCGCACGGUGUUCCUGGAGGAGAACGAGUUCUACGUCAAGUACCUGGAGCCCAAGCACCCGGGGCUGGAAGCCUACGACGUGUCCUACACCACCAAGGUGCGCGACUUCCGGGACCUGCUGGCGGCGGCGCGGGCGUCCCGGGCCAAGGAGUGCCGCCCCGUCCAGAACCUCCUCUUCUCCGAGUGCCGCCUCGCCAUCAACGACCUGCCCAACGACCUCUACGACGUGGCAUGGGACAUGGUGCUCAUCGACGGGCCGUCCGGGUGGAACCCCAACUCGCCGGGGAGGAUGCCGUCCAUCUUCACCACCGCCGUGCUGGCCCGCUCCGGCGCAACGGCGGCCAAGGGCCCCACGGACGUGCUGGUGCACGACUUCCAGUUCGAGGUGGAGCAGGUGCUCAGCAAGGAGUUCCUCUGCGACGAGAACCGCGUCGCCGGCAGCGGCACCCCGUCGCUCGGCCACUUCGUCAUCCCCGGGGGCGGCGGCCGGAGCGACGCCUUCUGCUCCGAGUCCGCCCAGGGGGAGAGCUCGUCGGAAUCGGGAGACAACAACCGCCGCAAGUGAAUUAGCCAAUCUUGCCACGGAAUCGUUAGCCUCCUCUCCUCUCCUCAGCUGUUACUUAAUUUUUCAAUUUUUUUCUUGCAUAUAUGUGUUUGUUGUUUUGUGGGGCGAUAAUUGUAACAAAAAAAACCCAGAUAAUACGAUUGCCUCCAUCACAAAAAAAAGAGAUAAGUGACAAUGAAAAGAAAAUAGGAGCUUUACACAUCACGGUUCCCAUUACACUGACGGAGAAAAAGAUGUGAUAAUGCAAUUGCAAGUCUGAUCAGUGAGUACGAACAAUUCGGUAGCUGGUGGGAGUGGGGAGAUGGCAAUUGGCGAGCACCGAGCAGGAUGAACGAGCGAGCGGUGUGGUGGUUGGAUCUCAAGUCCCGUCCAGUGGCUCUUCUUUUUCCCAUCUCGUCCCGCUCGGUUGCGUGCUUUGCCUGACGAUGCCAGGCGGUAAAGCAGAUCGGGGGUCGGGGCUCGCUGAUCUGAUGCGCAUGUGUUGGUUCGUCAGUUUUCGAAUCAGCGUCAGUGACUAGUGAGUGAGUCACCAGAUCCCGCCAGGCGCUGCCGCGCCGAAAUGAGAUCAGCCGAUGCGCGCUUGUACCCGUGCGCUGUGCUCCGGCGUUUCGUUCAAAAAGUUUUAAAAAGUUGGCCGUCUUUUGGCGCAACGUCUGGUGACCCCGACCGGCGACCGCCCAACAACUCGUGCUCAUCUCGUCUCGUCUGCCCCGAAUGGGGAACCUGUGUGGCUGUCAAGCGGCAACGAGCGGACCGUUCGCUUUGGAAGAAGCUUGUGCAGUUUGGGAAGAAGGGUUUUGCGGCUUGCUCCUCUGCCUUCUCAUUUCUCAACCUGCUUGCUCUAUCUCGAAUUGACCAAGCAAAGCAAAGCAUCGUGCAUCGCUGCAAACCGUGGCCGGACAUGUCGACCGCGUAAGCAAUAGCACGAGCACACGGCAGAAUCUGACCGCGGGUUGCGACUCCUGUGUAUGGACUCGGCGGAAGGCUGCGCCAGAAUCUGCCAGCCCAAAGCCGCCGGCGGUCUGGAUGGAGACAGAGACCGGGCACCGCGCGCGGGGGCGGGGCCCGGACGACGGGCGAAAUUGGCAUCGCACGUUAACGACCGGGCCUUUUCCUAUCAGAAAACGGGGGGCCUUUUCGAGCUCUGAUGACGACUGAUUGACCACGUUGUGCGCUCCUGCAUUAUCAUCCCGUCACCAAAUGGCAAUGGAUGUUCGUCGUCAGAUCAGAUGUGCUGCUGGCCAGCUGCUGCUUUGUCUCCAAUGGUUUGUGUUGUGGCUAGGAGCUAGGGCUGGGCUUCUCCUACCCUAGUAGUAGAAUCGAACAACUCGUAGGACAAUAUAUGUAAACUGGAUUUGGGUGAGUAGGAACGAGCGACGAUUACAGGCUGCCCCACCCGCCACCGGUUUGGUGGCUUUUUUGGGCAAUCCCGGUGACAUGCCAACCACCCCACUCCCAACGCCUAACAUGAACAGUUUUCUAGUUACUCCUGGAUUAACAAGUGCAAUUUCAGAAUGCCAGUUAGUGACAGAGGUCACCGGCCUAUAAGAACAGAGUUUUGAUGCCGAAAUUCUUACAAAAAGAAUGUACUAUCCUUAUCCUCUGAAGUAAAAUACGGAAAUGGUUGCGAUCCGACGUGACUUUCGCAUACCUGAGACUGUUUCAAAUUUGCUACGAGGUACCUGUCAAUACAGUUGGUCGACCUUUUUCUUUACGAGAGGAAAUUGAGUUGGUCAUGAUUGAUGGCAAACAAGUGAACGUAAUGUAUGAUCUUACUCUUAAGAAUUUUUUUAACGAACCGUGAUUUAGUAGAAAAAAAUUACAAAACUUCAGUCUUAGGAGGCCAUAGGUAGAAAAAGAAUAGAAAGGAAAAAAAACAACUCGACUCGUCCGGUUGGAUUGGGAUGUCAACGUGGGUAACCGCUCAACUCAAAACCGCUAAACCCGACCUGUCGGAUUGGGACAUCAACGCGGUCGCACCACUUCACUCAAUCGGUGACAGCAGAGCCCACUACACCACUCGACUCGCAGCGUCGCAGAGCCGAAGCCUUUUAUCGUGGCACCCCCUGACAGUCUCACGUUCAUGUAGUUGCCGAACCUUCAGGCGUGACUCCGCGUCGACAGGGAACCAAGAGAAAUAGACCGCACCACACCAAGAAGGCCACCGCCAUGUCGAACCCAUCACCAUAGUGCUGCUACAACACCACACUCCAUCCUGAUAGAGUGUUACCACCAGAUCCGGACCUUUCGUAGGCUGCCUCGUAGUCGCCACUACGAAAACGUAACGCACAGGGCCUCGUCACAUCCGCUGUUGGCCUCCACCUCUCUCGUUGCCUCGAAGAAACAUCGCGCGCGCGGGGCCUUGCCAUGUCCGCAACAUUACUCCAUGUCACAGAUCCGUUUCUUAAGUCAUCGUCAGAAUGGUGAGCAAUAUUGUCCCGCUUCCCAAGGUCUCCAUCAAACAGCCAAGCCGCCGCCGCAAGUUGACUUAGCCUCGUUGGUCAACCCGCGCACAUAGCUUUCGCCGUCGUGCCAAGUCGCUUGCGUCAUUUUUCGAUGAUGUACCGUAGCGGAGUAGCCCAGCAAAGCUGAGCAACCCGCCGCAGUCUGUUGCAAGCCUAAUUAUCCCACGAUAUCGUUGCUGCAAGCGCUGUUUUCCGACACAGUCCCACACCGCACUAAUAGCUGCCCAGCAACGCCAGCCGCCAAGGUCCGCAGCAAGCAACCAACCCGACAAACAUGUGGCAACCUCUGGCCGCCACCACAACUACGAUCGCCUCCACGUGAGCUCGGCAAUCCCCACCAAGCUUGCCAUCCUACACCAUACCACCUUGUCGUGCCACAAGCUCGUCGCCACGAGACCGCCGCCACCAGCGGCAACCUCCUAUGACCACUAGCGUCACCAAUAUUGCCACAAGUUGAGUUGGGUCUCCAGAAACAAAGCUUCCAAGGAGGGAACGACGACGGCGUCGCCGUCGCUCGUCCAGAAUUUGGACAGAGUUUUCGCCUAAAGAACCCCGUGCAGCAAGGAUAGAGCUCCAACAUGACAUCCCCAAUGGGAAGAACGACGCCCUAGGGCGCCGCCGCCAUUGGCACCAGCAAGGUCACCGACAAAGGCUUUCGCUCGGAGCACCCCAUCCCAAACCGCUGCAUGCACACAGCCCAGCACUACCAAGACCACAGCCAUGGAAGUCCUUCGGAGGCGGCGCCGCCGCUGUCCCUCCUCAUCCGCUGCCAUUGCACACCCACCCUCGGCACUCUUAUAGAGAUAAACAAACACUCCAAUUUAGAGAGGUUAUGGUGUCAUUGCAAGGAUUAAUCUUGUGCUCGAUUUGUGCGGAUAUCUUACCACCAUGUGUUUACUGCAUUCAGCUUGUCAGUCCCUAUCAAGUUGGCUCGCUCCCGUUGGGUACAGGUAUUGAACGAAAUUUUCGAUUUUAUUGGUCAGGAGACACCACAGCUUGACCUCUUGUGCAUUAAAAUCGUACUGCCACGACACGUAUCCUAUUGAAUGGAGCUAAAUCCGUCGUACUUGUAUGUUUCUUUCUUGAUUUUGGCGAGAGGGAAAUCGUUCAUGAUGUAUGAAUCCGUAUACCACAUACCAAAAAUGCAGAAGAGUUUCCAAUAACAAAUUAUUCGGACUACUAGUUCACUGUAAAUAAUAUAUGUGAACUUUGUUUCUUUUCCUCAUCAAAGAAAAUAGAAGAAGUGUUUGGAAUAACAAAUUAUGGGGUAGGAGUUUUUAAUUUCUGAUGCUUCGGUUGGUCAACGAGUCGUGAUCAUCAGUUGGACAGGGACUAUGAUAAGAUAAGCGCAUGUGUUUUGUCAGUGAGUUCAUGAAAACAGCACAUGAUUCUUUUGAGCUGUAUUUUAAUCGAGUCCCAUCUGUACCAACCUUAUACGUACUCUAAAUUAUAGGUACAGCCACCAAAGGAAAUACCUGGGAAUAGUUGGGGAAGCUUCAGUAGUUUGGUGUCGACCGACUGAAACUCAGGUCCGUUUGCUUCCGCUGACUUAUUUUUAGCACCCGUCACAUCGAAUGUUUAGAUACUAAUUAGAAGUAUUAAACGUAGACUAUUUACAAAACCCAUUACAUAAGUUGAGGCUAAACGGCGAGACGAAUCUAUUAAGCCUAAUUAGUCCAUGAUUUGACAAUGUGUUGCUACAGUAAACAUUUGCUAAUGAUGGAUUAAUUAGGCUUAAUUAGGCUUAAUAGAUUCGUCUCGCCGUUUAGCCUCCACUUAUGUAAUGAGUUUUGUAAAUAGUCUACGUUUAAUACUCCUAAUUAGUAUCUAAACAUUCGAUGUGACACGUGCUAAAAAUAAGUCACCGGAAGCAAACGCCUCCUCAAUGCGACGCCGACGACAGACAGCUCCACCAUUUUGGAUCGUGGAAACCGCAACACGCUACCAGAAGUCCAGAACGCCGACCCUGUCCUCACGCCCACGACCACCACCUGAUGGCCGUGCUCGCCAAUGAGCCGGCGGCGUCCGUGGCCACAUCGUCAGCCAGGUCGUGGAAGUGGAUCCUCAGGUGGUAUGGUGAAAAUCGCAAGCACGCAUUUCGAUCGAUCAAUUGCAUCUAUGUUCGUCUCCCGGGCUCCCCGAUCGGUUGAGAUACUGAAUUUUGCGUGAAGGGUGUGACCAAGGGCGUGGCGGUGGAGGCCCUGCUCGCCGCCAUGGCGCGCCUUGUGGAGGCGGCGGACCUCGCACGCGCAGCCGCUUAUCUCCGACCGGCUCGCCGCCUCAGCCUGCGGCGGUGAUCUCUUGCCAGUCUACUCUCACUAUGUAAUGCUACCUGGACGGAGUAACGGGAAGGCAAGCGCCGGCCGGCUCGCCAGAUCUCGACGCCGCGACACGGCGAGGGGCCGCCGCGGGGCCUUCUGGUCUGGGGAAUUUUAGGCCCGUGCUUCGCUCGCGAGGGUCGCCGGAGGCAGCGGCCGGGAGCGCAAACUUGGCGGAAGCUCGCAGUGGUGCAGCGCGAAGGGGCGGGCGGUGGUCGCUGGCGGCAAGGCGACCUCGCCGGCUCCCAUGGCGCCGGCCUGAAAUGUUAUUGGAUCGCGAUCAUUAAUCUCAAUCCAAAUAUCUACAAAAGAACCCAAUUUAUUUACAUAUAGACCCCUAAUUGGGAUCUAGAUUAUUAAUCACGAUUAUUUUCAAAAUACUCCCUUGAUUUGGAUCGGGCUUAUUAAUAGCGAUCCGAAUAUAUGCAAAAUGCCCCCCGUUCAGUUCUUGCCACCAUCUUGCCUUGCGUGGGGAGCGGGGUCUGUGCUGUGCAUCGCUGGGUGCGACAUGUCGCCGCGCGUGGAGACGAGGAGGGAGGCAGCUCUCUCCUGAAGGAAAAACAAGGAGAGCCCCACUCUUCCCCUCCCCGCCUGCGGUGGCGCCAAGUCGAUUUCUUUCCCUCGCGGCCUCUUAAGCUGUUGCGGGUUUGAAUCGAAACCGAGAGCACGCGCGGAAUAGAGAGAUGUAGAUAGAGACGGAGGGUGGGACAUGUAGAUUAGACGAGAGGAGAUAUGGGUACUAAAGGACACGAACUUUCACGCACAAAGAUAGUAUGGGGAACAGAGGUCAGCCGCCCGCCCGCCUGCCUCACAGAGAUACCAGGUGUCAUGGGGAUGCUGUCGCUAAAUCAUCUAAUGCUCAAGCAGGUGUGGAGGCGUCGUCGGCACAUCCAAGUUCGCAGUAAGUCGCCUCUCACCGUUCCCCCUCUUUGGCCUCCCCGUUAUUCAUCUCUGCUACAUUAUUAUAUGGUCAAUAUUUUGCUGAAAAGAUUAUGGUCAUUGUAGAUUUUCUCUUGAAUUAAAACAUCUUUUAAUCCUAUAAGUUUCAAUUUUCCAAAAGCCAGAUAACAGAAACAAAUUGGAUUGUUGUGUGCACAAUUUGUAUGCUUGAGUUGGUUUUUUCCUUCGGUUAAUAUAAGUAAUAUUCAGUACCAUGUAGGAUGUGUUGCAGGUGGGUCGAUUACUAAUGGUCAUUCUCAGGCUGGUGAAAGAUCGACGUAUUCAGGACCACAUCUUCCUGAGGUACGGCAUAAAAUGCUGAUGAUGGAAAGCUUAGAUGAGAAGUAAAGAUUAUUUGACAACUAUACUUAACUCCUCUAAUUGAUGGGCCUAUUCUAGCUACAUAAAAAAAUUGUGAACAGAUCUUGUACUAUUUAUUCAUUGUUACCGUGACAGUAAAGGCUAAGCUCUAGCUUUUCCUCAGUACCGAUACUUGUUUAGUUACAUUGCAACCAUUACAGAAGAUUUUAUUUAAAAUGCAGUAAUACACAGCCGUAACAAAGUUGGGCUCCCCCCUUAGAAAAGAUGGAAACGUAUAACCAAAUAUCAUUUUUCUGCGAGAAGAUUGUGAUUACUUUUUGAAAGCUGGCUCGAAAGCAUUUUGACAGUCCUUUUUAUAUGGUAUUACCUAAAGAAGAUGGUCAAGGAGUUAACUGAAUUGCCGAUCUCAUGUUUUCCGGUGAUACCUUCCACUUGUUCCUUGUAGCAGAAAAUAGGUCUAGCCAUGAACAAACCAAGAAUUUCUACUUGAACUAAUGAACUGAACAGAUUUUUCCAAAGACUUGGUUAUCCUUUUUAAGUCAAGUUGUCCCAAUGAAAGCAAAAUGAUUAGCAUGUAACAUUGCCUUUUCCCUGUUUGUUUUCUCCAGAUUAUAAGUAGCCAUUUAUAAGAUUGCAUCAAUCUUCAAUUUAUUGCAGCCACAUAGUGUAUGAGAACACUAGUGGUGCGGCUGUUUUAGAAUAUUUCCUGUGCCAUAUAUUCGUGUACUCGAUUAGCCCAAAGUACCUUCUUGCCUUUUGACCACUAUGCCUGCGGGACCUUGCCUGAAAAUGUAAAUGCUGGACAAUGGAUCUGUUAUAAAACUGUCACCAACUAGCAAUAUGGUUGUAUGUGUAUUCGUACUUUGAAGAAAAGUGGAAGUGGUCACUGAAAGCUUUAGCAUAAGUGAGGGAUACUUUCACAUGUUGUCCUGUAACCAAAUUUCCGCGAACCCCUCCCAUGCUGAUGCAAAAAUGUUCGGCGGCGGCCCAGAACCACGAGAUGACGAGGAGAUGCGGGAGCUCGACUUCUCCAAUCCCCAUGGGCGGCUCUCUGAGAAUGUGGUGGCAGUGGCGGCGACACGACAACAAGGUGCACGACCUCCGAAUCCUCGCAUGCCCCGUCCUCAUCGCCGGUGGAGCCACCUCCGCCAAUCGCAGCUCGCUGACCGGUCCCUCGCCGGGGAAGAAGCUACGCGGGGCUUUUCCACUGCCGCCUGACCUACUUCGAGAUUAGAAGCGGCGGCAGCGGCUGCCCGCCAUAUUGCGAUCCCAACUCAUGCUUGUCGUGUCGCCAAGGCAUUUGAACACAAAUGACAAAUCAAUCCUGACUGGUUGCUUCGUUCUUCCUUAUCUGAUAUGUCAUUUUCUUGCAAUUUCAAGCGCGUUCAUAUUGAUUUCUUAGAGAAAAAACGCUCCUUGUUGAGUUGCAGUGGAAGAUAUCUAGGAAAGAAAGCCCUUAAUAUUAUUUAGGGAGCACAUGUAGAGUGUAGAGUUGUACCGAGGCAACUCAACUUCGAGUGCUUCACUUCUAGGCCUUGGAUCAUUCUUGACAGCAUAUGUUGUAUCAAUUUUUUUUGGAGCUAUAUAUGAUCCCUCACUGAUUAGUCAUUUGUUUUUUUUUUCUUUUGUAUUUCUCAUUCAUUUUCAAAAUUACUUUCACACCAGUGCAUCCUAAUGAGGGGGGAGAUGUUUUCUCAUCAUAUUUGUUUCUUGUUAACUUAUUUUCCUCAGCAUCAGAUAUUCAUAAGAAAGGGACCACCUAUCUAACAAUAGCUGGUGAUGAUCGGUGAUGGUGGCUUGGCAAGGUUAGGUAUUUAUUUUAUUCUUUUUCUGGUUUGCUCUCUAUAUGAAUUAGUAUUUUUUUUCUGUGUUCGCAGCAAUGCUCAUCCUCUAAUAUGGUGCCUCAUUCAAUUUUUUAUAAUACAGAUGUUUUUUUAUUCAGUAAACAUAUGGACUUAAAUAAAAGUUCAAAUAAAACUUGUACUCUGCAGGUGAAAGAGUGGCGAUAUUUGUACAUUUCUGGAACUGAAAGGAUACAUACCACCUGUUGUUUUCCUGUAGGUAUGUAGAAUGGACACCUUGCAAAUUGAGUAGAAUGCUUAGAUAACAUGUUGAUUAUUUGUGCCUACAUGCUUACCUGGUUGUUUCUUCCAGUAGCAUCAGGGAAUUUGUUGGCGUUCCAGUAAUUUAAGCUCUCAUUUUUACUUUAUUAUGCUGAUCACCAUGACAUAGGCUUUUAUCAAUUUUGGAUGCGGAUUGUUGAUCCCCAAUAUAUUUUACUCUUUUUUCUUCAGAUUCUUUUGCUGGACAAUAAUAAAAUCACAAAGCACCAAUAGAAUGAUCUUAUUAGGUUUUCUUAGGAAGCCAUAAGUUGUCUGUUGUCUCCAAGGAUAGUGAACAAGAGACUCUAUCUGCAGUUCUUGUCAAUACGCUUGACUCCUGGUAUUCGAUUGUCUUGCUAACUAUAUUCUUGAUAAUUUAAUAUAACUGUGCUUUGAUUACUGAAUGUGUUCCUCACAUCCAAUCCAAAAGAUGAGAAUUACCGAAUGCUCCGCACAUAGGAAAUGCUCUAAUGAUGGCAUACCUGUAGCUGACAAUGAACCAAUUAGUGCCAUGCUUCAUCAUGCUUGAUGUGGCAGCACCAGAGCACUGCGUCUUUUCUGAAGGUCAUCAGUAAGCAUUGAUGGGAGGGUUCCACAUGCACAUUGAAAAAAUUAAGAAUAGGACAAGACACAGAAGGAAAUUGAAAAGUACGAGGUAAAUUUACUAUUUCUUUUUCUGAGCUUUAGUUGUCUAGCAUUGCUCCUUUCUUAGUUGUAAUGAAAUGUGUGAAAAUUAGUCAGGUCAACCAUAUUUGAGUUGUGUAUUAUAACAGCUAUCAAAGGUUGUUUGCAACAGGCCUACAAUAUGCUCGCCAAAUUCAUUAUAUUUUUUGAAAAAUAAAAAAAAUUGAUUAUUAUUUGAAAUUGUGAGAGAAUACUGAUUCCUCCAUGUUCUGAAAUUCUAGGAUCCUGAACAUUUCUUACCUUGGUUACAAAUGAAUACAUUGUAAUGAUCUGGUUACCUUUCUUGUGAGAUUUAUCCAAUAACUUGGAUUAAGUUUGAUGGAAGUUUGCAAGAAUCAGGGAAGCAUCAUUGCCUCUGGAAUUUGGCAUAUAACACUGAGGUAAUUACUAGAUAAUGAUAAUUUUUUUUGUUGAUGGGAGCACGAGGUAAUGGUAAUGGUGAUGGGAUUCUCUGUUUGGCCUUGCUGUUAUGUCCAUGCAGCUCGUUUUAACUUCUGAUGUUGUUCCUUGAUUUUCGGAAAGAAGGUUAGUAAAAGGGAGGAAAAUCAGAGGCAGUCCUCCACAGCAAUAGAAAUUAGUCUUAAAGUUUUUUUUUUCAGAAGGAAGCCUGCUUGAAACUUCUUUAAGCUGAAAAUGUUUAAGCUUGAGAAAAUGUUAUUAGAAUUACUGUAAUCUGAAAGGGUUUCUAUGUUGAUAUUACCUGCUCAUUGGUUUCUACGCAUUUUGAGUUGACGUGUUGGAAAAUAAAAAUGUAGUGCUUCACAAAGUUUAAGUUGAUACCUGCUCAGUGUUUUCUAUGCAUUUUGAGUUGACAUGUUAGAAAAUAAAAAUUCAGUAGUGCUUCACAAGGUUUUAAGUUGAUAUUACCUGCUCAAUGUUUUCUAUGCAUUUUGAGUUGACAUGUCAGAAAAUAAAAAUACAGUAGUACUUCACAAGGUUUAUUUAGCUGUCUAGAAAUUUGGUGCAUGAAUUUUUUCUUAUGAAAACUCAAGAAUUCUGAAUUCUUCUCUCUUUUAGGUGUCCUGCUGCUCAUAGUCAACUCCAUCUAGCUCACGAUGCUUGGUCCUGGACUGAUGAAGUAUAGAGCUUGUGCAGGCAAGGCAGGCCUGCGCUGUGGUGAACAACUGCAACCACCACGAAGUCUAUGUCCCCAACACUUUUGGUGUUGCCUUUAGUUUUCGCUUCCUGAUACAAGUAUCUUGCAUUUCAUUUCUGCUGCUGAAUCCGAGGAGAGCACCGGAGGGUGCGAGGACUGCAGGAUCUUGGAUGGCCGUGCAUAAACAAUAGUAAAUGUUUAAGGGAAACAUAUAUACAAUAUCUUUGUGCCUGAUCCGGAGACUAUUUACCUAGAGUAUCACUAGAUCGGAGGUCACUUUUAUAUGUGUUUAUUGGGUCACAUAACAUUUGAGCAUGUUUGGGUGGGUUGGUACUUUGCUUUAGGUCACAAAACAUUUUAGUACUUCGCUUUAGGUGAUUAUUAGUUUCUUCAUUGGCCAUCUCAUCUUCCCCACGAGGAUUGGUGUCAGUUCCAAAAUUGUUAUAUAAAAUACUUGUAUGAGUAUGACUACGUGUUCCCUUGCUCACUCAUCUCAGGAUCAAAGUCUGAAGAUGUAUACGACCGAUCAACAUACGAGUCCAUUAGUUAGUUAUACGAUGGAUUGUUGACAAAACAAUAAUUGUGAUUUCUUAUAUUUAGAUUUGUUAAUAAAUAUUUUGUAUGUAAUCUCUUUUUAAUCACGUACAUGCCGCACGUGCACUUCCACUAGUUAUUAAGAAAGGCAGAUGAGAUCUUUGGUCUAGAAAACAAGGACCUUGUACACCAUCUUUGAGAGUCUAAUUACUCGUAAUGUUCAAUAGACUCCUCGAGGCUAAACAUUUCCCAUAACCACUGGUGAUCCAUGUUUUACCGGUAUAUUGUGAUUAUGAUGUUGGUCAUUUUUUGUAUUUGAAGUCUGUAGUCCGUUGAAGGUUCUUGGUAUAUAGUUUCCUCUAUCCUUUUGCUUGUGCCCAUAUAGUCAUGGGUAGUCUGUAAGCUACAAUUUAUACACUUCAAUACAAAUGGAGAAAAUAUUGGAAUAAGAGGAAAUGUGUUAUAGGUGUGUUAUAUCUCGAACAUAAUAGACAAGUUGCGACUUUGAAACAACUGCAGAAUAGAAGUUUCUUACAUUCACCAGAGUAAAUGAAUCCAUCUGGAGAAAUAUAAUUUUAUUGCUGUAUUAAUUCCCUUUAUGAUUUUAACUCUAUCGAAUAUCUCUUUCUAUUUUUGGAAUCUAAACUGUUGAAAUAUACCGUAAACUGUUUUGACCUUUGGUAUCUAACCUUAAUCCUUUCGCAACAGUAUCGUUUCAGAAAAUUACUUAUUUCAUAUCCUUUGCUAUGUGCGUCAUGAGUUGUUUUUGUGGCCUGCUCCAAAUUGCCUUUUGCUCUUCAAAGCUCCCAACGAUGGCAGAUUGCUUAUUGUUUGUCAACGAAUUUGCCAAAUGGUUGUAAUAUACUCCAUUGUUUAAAUCAUAUAGUAUCUUCAGCAGGUUUGCACUCUUUCUCCUGACCAAAAUUUGCCCAUCUGUGCCUUCGGUUGUGUUGGCAAUAAUGCUUACUGGCUUUAUUUCCACAGAGGGUUCCAACUCAGAUCCUUGGACCAUGUAAACUGCACCAAGAACUUCUCCCAGAAAUAUGUCCUGGAAAAAUGUGUAAAAAAGAUCAAAGACUACAUCAGACGUCAACAAUUGAAAGUGGGCAAUUUACAGAGUCUUAAGGGGCCAUUUACCAUGUGGUGAUACAAUUUCUGUUUCCUCUGAAGUUCCUGUAGCAUCAAGAUCAAACCAUGGACAAACCUUGAUUCGGGAGUAUGCUGCGUGCGUUGCUCCAAAGCUGCAAGGACAUCCUCGAAUGAAGCAACCUUUCGUUGCACGUUAAGAGGAAUGAGUGUGAUAUCCAGACUGGAUUCUAGGACCAUUUUUGCGGCCAGUGGAUCAAGGAACAUGUUAAACUCGGCAUAUCUGUUCGAUGGGACAGUGAACACAUUUCCCUUCUCAUGAUCGCUCUCUCUGAUGUGUCCGCCAACGACAUAAAAUCUCUGCAUACAGAGGAUUAUAAGAUUUUAUCUAAUGAAUAUUGAUUUCGCAUCUGAAUUCAUCACCCAUCAGAACUUCGUUCGAAGUUUCGUACUACCAGGGGGACAAAAAGAACAAACCUCUAUCACAGAGCUUGCAUCCAUGUCAGAUAGUGAAAUGUUGGCCAGAUUGGUGAGAGGUCCACUGGUAAGAACCGUGAUUUUCUCACCUGGACCAAGUUGCUUCCUGAUUGACUGCCAAACAUCAUAAGCAUGUGGCUGCCGGCGCUCUGGAUGAUCUAAAUUUUCAGACAUGUACCUAAUCAUGGAAUGAACAGAUGUAAAAUGCAUUACGACAAUUCUAUAGCAUUAGCAUACAUAUGAAAGUGACGAAAGAAAUAGGAAGAGUGGUUACCUUCUAGGACUUCUUGGCAGUGACCGAGCCAAUCCAUACAAUGUGUCUGAAUCAACAAAUCCACCACUGCCGUGGGGAAUGGCAUAAGAAUUUUUGCAACCAAGGAUUGGAUUGCCCAAUGCAUUGGUAUUUCCUAGACCGACUGGAAUAUCAUCGCGGCCCAUCAUAUGUAGCACGUCGUAAACGAUAUCGAUGCUUGCACUAUUAGCCCAGCCAUUGCCAUUGAUCAAAACAGCCUAAAACAGUUUAGCAAACUGAGUUUUUUUUUCAGGCAUUCAGUGUACAACAGCAUACCGCAUUGUUAGUUGCAAAAAUUAUGCCGUUUGUAACAUAUAUUUCUCUCACCUUUAGAUCAAGUACUUCUCUCGGUUCCUUCAAGAGGUAUAUGAGGGACACAAAAUCUCCAGGGCUCAUGUCCAUGUCAAAAAUGACUGGCUUACCCCUGCUUACAUUCCUGAAAUCAGGCUUGUAGUUCUUAGGGAGAUUUAGAACCUGAAAAGGAAACAAAUUCGAUCAUUGUUGUGCUUGAAGUUCGACAUUGUGAGUUCUGAGCUUUUCAGCUCAAAAACACGCCAAGUAUACUGCUUAGUUACCUCUAGGAAGCUCUUGCAAAAUUCCUUAUCCAGUAAGCUACUUUUAUUGGUGUUUGGCUUCGCGCUUGUUGCGACAUAUACCUGCACUGCUUCUGGACCGGACACUUCCUUAGUGUAUCCAUCCUAAGGAGAAAUGCAGGUUUUCAGGCUUCCGAAGUUCUCAUGCUUUUCAACAUUUCGCAUCCAGUACAUUCCAUUACCUCACAUCUUCCUCUGUUGCUUCCCCGCACCAGGCAGAAGGCAUCUCUGAUCCCAGUCUGAACAUGCCCACUGUGAACUCCACCCUCUUGCAGUCCAAACUUGGGUUUAGCUAGGCCAUCAAAGAAAGGGUUGGAGCCGUCACGCGCGCCGUACGGUUUGUUGGAGGUUACCACGGUGAUGUUCAUGUACUCGAGCUCGGCGAAUUCAUUGCCGCCGCCGUUGGUUUCGCCAUGGCGCAUGCUGGAGAGAGCCACUCCGGCGGCGAAGUAGUCCCACAUGUAGUAGCCCUGCAAAUUCAUUGAAGCGUAAGGAAUUCGUGGAGAACUCGACGUUUUAUUACAAGGGCCGGAGAUGGAUGGGUUCAGAGUGCUUCAGACUACUUGCCGUGUUGUUAUGGCUGUCGGAGCGCCUCCUGUGCCGCGCCAGACCUGGUCCAGCGACUGGAAGCCGUAAUGCGCCUCGUACGUGCUCUGGCGCCGCCGGAACUCGGAGUUGAACUCCUCCGUCACGGGCACCAUGUACGUGGCGUCGAGAGGGAUCAGCGUGACAGGCACGCCCGAGUGGAGCACCUGGUACGCGGCGAAGGGGUCGCCGAAGAAGUUGAAGUUGGCGAACGGGUUGGCGGCGGUGGCGGUGAAGAGGUUGCCGGCGACCCGCACGGCGCCGCCGGAGACGUAGACGCGUUCCACGUUCCGCCUCAGGUGCGGGCGCGUCGCGAGGAGGAUCGCGAGGUUGGUGUGCGCGCCGAGGAGGAUCACCGAAGUCGGGCCGGAGGAGAGCGUGUCCGCCAUCACCCGCUGCGCCGUGGGCUGCCGGUACCCCCGAGGACCCUGCGGGAGGAAGCCCCUCCGGACGCCGGAGUUGGUGUCGAUAUCCAGCCGCCCGCCGAGCCCCGGUGGGAUGGCCUGCCUGUAGCGGCAGCCGCCGGCCGUCGACAUGCCCUGCAUUGAUACCUCACGUCAAAUGCAUGGUGCUAAGCGCUAACUUGGAGCACUGGAUCGAUUGCGUCAGUUGAGGUACCUGGUCGAUGAGUGGCAGGUAGCCGCCAACGUUGGGGCGUAUGUCGCCGGCGCCGGAUAUCCCGCCGUCGCCGCCGACGCCGACGGCGAUGUCGUCGCGGCCCAUCAUGUAGAGGAUGUCGUAGAGGUGGUUGACGGCGUGCCCGGCGUCGCUCCACUCGUUGGCGUUGAUGGUAAUGGCCUGCAUUGUUCACAGCAACAAUAGUGACGCACUAGCCGGCCUUGACUGAGAGAUGUGGAUCAGAUACGGGGCAUAUGGCUCAUCAAAUUGACGGCCACGAGGCGUUGAAGUCAGGCAUGCCGCUGGCUGCAACGACGACGACGAGAGUCAAAGCCAAGAUGCGCCUUCGCUGUCCGUAUCUAUCUCCUCCACCUCAGGUGCCUUUGGCAGAGCGGCUCCACGGAUGGCUUCUGUUGAAGCUGUGCCAAACAUCCACCCAAAAAACGGCUUCGGUCGCGGAGCACCCGUAAAGCCGUUCUCCAAUUUGCACUAGCAAGGCGAAGCCGGAAAAACCGGCUCCCCGCUGCUCCCUCCCCGUCCGCGCCCCACUCGUUACGAAACUACCCCUGGACUACCCCUGGACUACCCCUGGAGGGUUGGGAGUUGAGGUCCAUCCCCUCCAUCCUGCCGGAUCCGCGUCGAGGAGGGACGCCACAGCCGCCGGAGGAGGAAGCCGCCGCGGUGAAGCCGGGAUUGUGGUGGGCGGCGGGAUCCUGCUGGCACACUCUAGAAGGUAUGCGGCUCGUACGCUUGCACGAUCUGGUUGGUUCCAAACGGGCCCUUAGUUGGGCUUUUUGGUUUCCACGAGCCUUUCACGUUUAGUGGAACGGCCCAGCGUAGGGCGACGACGACGCAGGUUGCUGCAGCAUAGCUCUGAAACUGCUGCAUUGUUGCUGCAGCGUUGAAACUCUGAAACUACCGAAUGUAUUGUGCCCCAGGCUGCUGUGCCAAACAAUUUCUAAAGUAAACCUGGACAAGUGAGGGAAUGAUAAUGAUGGCCAACAGAUGAAGAACAACGUCGUGGCAAACGAACUGAAUGCACAUGAAUAGCCUAGCGUGAAGCAGAGAACUGAGAGCAUGUCAAAAGCAAAAGCUGUUGCUCACUUUCAUCAGUGAAAGCUAUAGGGAAUGAAUAUAGCAUAAUCAUUGCUUCUUGUUCCAAUAUCAAUUUCGAUAACAUCAAUCGCAGUUCUGCAAAGCCGCGCCGCGAGGAGCUUAGCAGAAGCUAGCUGAAUCUUACAUAUGAUAUGCAAAAGCAAAUUUGGCAGAAGCAGUUCCGUGAACAGCUGAACCCAUUUUUUCAGGCUUAUGUACAGGAGCACCUAUUAAUUAUACGGGAUAUACUUAAACAGCGGCCGCCGCGC
RNAcentral lists this long non-coding RNA (35744 nucleotides) under Setaria viridis. RNAcentral's name for it is "long non-coding RNA (SVIR_LNC008495)". Lineage: Eukaryota; Viridiplantae; Streptophyta; Magnoliopsida; Poales; Poaceae. The record is from RNAcentral.